AACGAACGCUGGCGGCAGGCUUAACACAUGCAAGUCGAACGCACCUUUCGGGGUGAGUGGCCGACGGGUGAGUAACGCGUGGGAAUCUACCCUUCUCUACGGGAUAGCUCCGGGAAACUGGAAUUAAUACCGUAUACGUCCUGAGGGAGAAAGAUUUAUCGGGGAAGGAUGAGCCCGCGUUGGAUUAGCUAGUUGGUGGGGUAAAGGCCUACCAAGGCGACGAUCCAUAGCUGGUCUAAGAGGAUGAUCAGCCACAUUGGGACUGAGACACGGCCCAAACUCCUACGGGAGGAAGCAGUGGGGAAUAUUGGACAAUGGGCGCAAGACUGAUCCAGCCAUGCCGUGAGAGUGAUGAAGGCCCGAGGGUUGUAAAGCUCUUUCAGUGGGGACGAUAAUGACGGUACCCACAGAAGAAGCCCCGGCUAACUUCGUG
RNAcentral lists this ribosomal RNA (433 nucleotides) under uncultured bacterium. RNAcentral describes it as "partial 16S ribosomal RNA". It matches the Rfam family "Bacterial small subunit ribosomal RNA", at positions 29 to 507 of the family's 1533-position model. The record is from RNAcentral.